Molecule: long non-coding RNA, 654 nt
Filed under: Chrysemys picta bellii (western painted turtle)
Lineage: Eukaryota; Metazoa; Chordata; Testudines; Emydidae
Description: lncRNA (ENSCPBG00000026264.1)
Source: RNAcentral
GGGACUAUUGGUGUGUUUAACUUUAAACACCUGUGUAAAUGUUUAAAGGCUCAGGGCCUAGGCCUGGUCCCUUGCCUCAACUCAAAGAGAAUUUGUCCAAUGUGCCAGGUAAAAGAAUGGUCAGCAGCGUUUGGAAACAGAAUACUGGAACUGACUCCUAAGCGGGAAAUCAGGACAUGGACGUGACUUCUUUACUGUCAGCAAUUCCCUGUCAAUAAAUAGAGGACUGCUGCGAUUUUUCAGAGGAGCUGAGGGGAGGGGAAAAUCCAGCCCUGAUUUCAGACAGGCACAGACCCUCUUACGCUCCGCGCCAUAUGCUUCAGCGUGUGGAAAUGGAACUUUUGCAACAUGUGCUUGGAUCAUCAUCAUCGGAAGCGUGCUACAUAUCUCAGGGGAAGAGACUAGAUUGUGCUGUUCAUAACAAGGGCCUUUGCUCUAACAUAUAACACGGCUGCCUUUGCAUUUCUGAUUUGUGUGUGUAAAACACGUGUGUGUGUACCCUUUCACAAACCCCCUCAACAGAAUUGUAUAGUUUAUGUUGGCUAAAAACAUAACAUAACAGGGAUUAUCUAUCUAUCUAUCUAUUCCCAUACACCCCCUCUAUCUAUCUAUCUAUCUAUCUAUCUAUCUAUCUAUCUAUCUAUCUAUCUAUCU